Molecule: long non-coding RNA, 254 nt
Organism: Poeciliopsis prolifica (blackstripe livebearer)
Lineage: Eukaryota; Metazoa; Chordata; Actinopteri; Cyprinodontiformes; Poeciliidae
Exons: 3
Source: RefSeq, a predicted model, not a curated record
CCCGCCUCGUCUCCUCUGAGCUUCAUCAUGUCGACUCUGAAGAUCACAGGACUGAUCCUGAUGGUUGGAGUCACUGUUGGUAUCAUCAGAACCAGAGGAAGAAAAAAGCCUCAGAAAGACAUUAAUGUCCGUUUUGCUGCUGAUGACGACGCAGUGAAUUAUGAAAAUGAUGGAGAACGUUCUGCUGCCGCCGCUCUCCACUGAGCUCCAUCACAUCCAGGAUGAUUCAUUAAAAAAGCUUCAUUUUAACUGUA